CCGUGUCGCUAGGGGUGGUACCAACUGAGAGCCGGCAACCGGGACCCGGCAACCCUUAGUACCUGAUCUGGGUAAUGCCAGCGGAGGGAAGCGACGGCUGGGGACU
RNAcentral lists this non-coding RNA (106 nucleotides) under Syntrophobacteraceae bacterium. Its description in RNAcentral is "TPP sequence". It matches the Rfam family "TPP riboswitch aptamer (THI element)". Rfam says of the family: Vitamin B(1) in its active form thiamin pyrophosphate (TPP) is an essential coenzyme that is synthesised by coupling of pyrimidine and thiazole moieties in bacteria. The previously detected thiamin-regulatory element, thi box was extended, resulting in a new, highly conserved RNA secondary structure, the THI element, which is widely distributed in eubacteria and also occurs in some archaea. Analysis of operon structures identified a large number of new candidate thiamin-regulated genes, mostly transporters, in various prokaryotic organisms. Lineage: Bacteria; Pseudomonadati; Thermodesulfobacteriota; Syntrophobacteria; Syntrophobacterales; Syntrophobacteraceae. The record is from RNAcentral.